GCCAGGCUUGGUGGUGAAGGCCUGUAAUCCCAGCAACUUGGGAGGCUGAGGCAGGAGGACUACAGGUUCGAGUCCAGCCUCAG
RNAcentral lists this small RNA (83 nucleotides) under Marmota monax (woodchuck). Lineage: Eukaryota; Metazoa; Chordata; Mammalia; Rodentia; Sciuridae. The record is from RNAcentral.